Molecule: ribosomal RNA, 1536 nt
Filed under: Triticum aestivum (bread wheat)
Lineage: Eukaryota; Viridiplantae; Streptophyta; Magnoliopsida; Poales; Poaceae
Description: partial small subunit ribosomal RNA
Source: RNAcentral
AUGUCCAUGGCGACCGGAGUAGAACCGACGAUCGACGUGAAGGUUUUCGUGGACAAGGAGAGGGGCAAGGUGCUCUUUGCGGAGUCCGGCAAGGAGUUCGUCGACGUUCUCUUCGGCUUCCUCACGCUGCCCCUCGGCACCGUCGUCCGCCUCCUCGGCGGGCAGUCUCAGGUGGGAUGCCUCGACGAGCUGUACAGGAGCGUCGAGGGGCUCUCCACCGACCUGUUCAGGACAGAGGCUUGCAAGGCGAUGCUGCUCAGGCCCAUCAACGCUGCAGCAAAGCAGUGCUGUCAGUUGACGGUCAGAGUCGACGACACCAAGCACAGGGAGGUUUACGUCUGCGCUGACACGAGCUGCAGUGUCACCGCGUUCAGCUCCGUCACCGGCGCCGUCUGCAACUGCGGUAGAAUCAUGACGCAGCUUGCCGGGGAGAGGCCGGAGAAUCCUCGUAACGCUGCUGCCGGUGGUGCUUGCGAGGAUGGGGCUUUUGUCAAAGGAGGUAUGAAGUUUAUCGUCACUGAUGAUCUCAAUGUUGCACCGGCCUCAACUUCUCUCAUGCUGUCCCUUCUGGACAAAUUUCAAGUGCCAGAUCCCUCCUGUCUUGAGCAAAUGACACUCCAGUUUAGUUCAGUCAAGAUAAUUGACCUGCUCAGGAGGUCAUUAACGUCGCAGAACCCGUUAACUGGUCAUUAUCUUGACGUCGCGCCUGAUGAUUCAGUAGUGGAUAUGCUCCCUGAGUACUUGCAUCCUGAAGAACAAGAUAAUGAGGCUGAGCACUCACUAGUUAAUGCCAGCCUAAGGGUUCUUCAGACAAAGAACAACUCCAAGGUGUUGUACGCCGAAGUUGGCGGCGAUUUGGUGGAUCUUCUCUUUGGAUUACUGACCAUACCUCUAGGAUCCAUAGUGAAAACAUAUGGGAAAUCUGCAUCUAAAGGAUGUCUUGACAAUCUUUACACUAGCAUAGCUGGAAGUGCUCAUGGAUGCUUGAGGCCAGAAUGCCAGAACUUGCUAUUGUCCCCAAUGCUGGCACCUUAUUUUGGCUACGGUGCUAGUAAGAUGCUUCAAGUUGAAGAACUAGCUCCAGAUAAGCUGGAUAUAAAUGCAUGCUUCAAGUGCUUCAAGAGUCGUGGAUUUGCAAAUCAUUACCUUUGUCAUGUUGAACCAUGGUGCAACUACCAAAAACGCUAUGUCAAAAUUUGUUAUGAAAAAGGGAAGACCACAAAGCUCUGUGAGUUGGAUCCAAAAACACCAGAGGGAGGAUGUGAAGAAGCAGCAUAUGUAAAGCAGGGACCUCAGAAAUUCAUUGUGACUGAUGAUCUGCAUGUUCUUCCUCUGUCCUUAGCAAGCACUCUGCAAGUUGUUAUUGAAGCCAAACUUCAGAGAAAGGACCUUGUGGAGAAAGAAGUCGCCCUUACAAAACCCCAGGUUAUGGAGCUACUCAGAGCUGCCUUGGUGACUCACAGAGCUCUUAGCACCGUGCUUCUGCCCGCCAAGAUCAACAAGAAGCUGCAUUACCACAGCUUCGGUCUAUAUUAG